UGUUAAAAAAAUUAUCUAUUUCUAUUGUUAAAAAUUAAUGUGGCUAACAAAAUAACCAGAUAGUUAUAUUUGGCAUGCCACGUGUACUCCAUACUGACGCACAUGGAUCAAUUUUUAACAAUAAAAAUGGAUAGUUAGUUUACUU
RNAcentral lists this microRNA precursor (145 nucleotides) under Gossypium hirsutum (cotton). RNAcentral describes it as "MIR7502 microRNA precursor family". It matches the Rfam family "MIR7502 microRNA precursor family". The record is from Rfam by way of RNAcentral. Lineage: Eukaryota; Viridiplantae; Streptophyta; Magnoliopsida; Malvales; Malvaceae.